Molecule: non-coding RNA, 106 nt
Organism: Gossypium raimondii (Peruvian cotton)
Lineage: Eukaryota; Viridiplantae; Streptophyta; Magnoliopsida; Malvales; Malvaceae
Source: Rfam
AGACCAUAGUGUGGGCAUAUUUUAUCUAUAUUUUAAAAUUUUUCCAGGCUUCCUGAAAGCUUUCUCCUUUUAGCUGCUUAAAGAUAGCAAUCUCUUUUCUUAGUUG